UACGUAGGGUGCGAGCGUUGUCCGGAAUUACUGGGCGUAAAGAGCUCGUAGGUGGUUUGUCGCGUUGUUCGUGAAAACUCACAGCUCAACUGUGGGCGUGCGGGCGAUACGGGCAGACUGGAGUACUGCAGGGGAGACUGGAAUUCCUGGUGUAGCGGUGGAAUGCGCAGAUAUCAGGAGGAACACCAGCGGCGAAGGCGGCGCUCUGGGCCGGAACUGACGCUGAGGAGCGAAAGCGUGGGUAGCAAACAGG
RNAcentral lists this ribosomal RNA (253 nucleotides) under uncultured bacterium. RNAcentral's name for it is "partial 16S ribosomal RNA". It matches the Rfam family "Bacterial small subunit ribosomal RNA", at positions 524 to 776 of the family's 1533-position model. The record is from RNAcentral.